This 484-nucleotide ribosomal RNA is filed under the name uncultured bacterium. RNAcentral's name for it is "partial 16S ribosomal RNA". It matches the Rfam family "Bacterial small subunit ribosomal RNA", at positions 28 to 507 of the family's 1533-position model. The record is from RNAcentral.
AUUGAACGCUGGCGGCAUGCUUUACACAUGCAAGUCGAACGGCAGCGCGGGCUUCGGCCUGGCUGCGAGUGGCGAACGGGUGAGUAAUGCAUCGGAACGUGCCCAGUAGUGGGGGAUAGCCCGGCGAAAGCCGGAUUAAUACCGCAUACGACCUGAGGGUGAAAGCGGGGGACCGAAAGGCCUCGCGCUAUUGUAGCGGCCGAUGUCGGAUUAGCUAGUUGGUGGGGUAAAGGCUUACCAAGGCGACGAUCCGUAGCUGGUCUGAGAGGACGACCAGCCACACUGGGACUGAGACACGGCCCAGACUCCUACGGGAGGCAGCAGUGGGGAAUUUUGGACAAUGGGGGCAACCCUGAUCCAGCCAUGCCGCGUGCGGGAAGAAGGCCUUCGGGUUGUAAACCGCUUUUGUUCGGGAAGAAAUCCUCUGGGCUAAUACCCCGGGGGGAUGACGGUACCGGAAGAAUAAGCACCGGCUAACUACGUG